GCAUAUCAAUAAGCGGAGGAAAAGAAACCAACAGGGAUUGCCUUAGUAACGGCGAGUGAAGCGGCAAAAGCUCAAAUUUGAAAUCUGGCACCUUCGGUGUCCGAGUUGUAAUUUGAAGAAGGUAACUUUGGAGUUGGCUCUUGUCUAUGUUCCUUGGAACAGGACGUCACAGAGGGUGAGAAUCCCGUGCGAUGAGAUGCCCAAUUCUAUGUAAAGUGCUUUCGAAGAGUCGAGUUGUUUGGGAAUGCAGCUCUAAGUGGGUGGUAAAUUCCAUCUAAAGCUAAAUAUUGGCGAGAGACCGAUAGCGAACAAGUACAGUGAUGGAAAGAUGAAAAGAACUUUGAAAAGAGAGUGAAAAAGUACGUGAAAUUGUUGAAAGGGAAGGGCUUGAGAUCAGACUUGGUAUUUUGCGAUCCUUUCCUUCUUGGUUGGGUUCCUCGCAGCUUACUGGGCCAGCAUCGGUUUGGAUGGUAGGAUAAUGACUAAGGAAUGUGGCUCUACUUCGGUGGAGUGUUAUAGCCUUGGUUGAUACUGCCUGUCUAGACCGAGGACUGCGUCUUUUGACUAGGAUGUUGGCAUAAUGAUCUUAAGCCACCCGUCUUGAAACACGGACCAAGGAGUCUAACGUCUAUGCGAGUGUUUGGGUGUAAAACCCGUACGCGUAAUGAAAGUGAACGUAGGUGAGAGCUCUUAAGAGUGCAUCAUCGACCGAUCCUGAUGUCUUCGGAUGGAUUUGAGUAAGAGCAUAGCUGUUGGGACCCGAAAGAUGGUGAACUAUGCCUGAAUAGGGUGAAGCCAGAGGAAACUCUGGUGGAGGCUCGUAGCGGUUCUGACGUGCAAAUCGAUCGUCGAAUUUGGGUAUAGGGGCGAAAGACUAAUCGAACCAUCUAGUAGCUGGUUCCUGCCGAGU
RNAcentral lists this ribosomal RNA (910 nucleotides) under Debaryomyces hansenii. RNAcentral describes it as "partial large subunit ribosomal RNA". It matches the Rfam family "Eukaryotic large subunit ribosomal RNA", at positions 38 to 966 of the family's 3401-position model. The record is from RNAcentral. Lineage: Eukaryota; Fungi; Ascomycota; Pichiomycetes; Serinales; Debaryomycetaceae. RNAcentral also lists the same sequence under 1 other name.